Molecule: small RNA, 2807 nt
Filed under: Cryptococcus neoformans H99
Lineage: Eukaryota; Fungi; Basidiomycota; Tremellomycetes; Tremellales; Cryptococcaceae
Description: Cryptococcus neoformans var. grubii H99 hypothetical RNA
Source: RNAcentral
CCGGCCAUUGGCUGGAGUGAUGAACACUAGUGACGCAUGGUAAAAGUUGCCCUGCUUUUCCACAAAAUCCGCCUCCUACCGCACAUAUCGUUUCCGACCUAGAUUGCAGAGUUAACACCAUAAGGAGACAUCAACUGUCUGGCGGAGCUCCAAGAGAAAAUCACUUCCGUCACGUCAGACGAGGUCGCCAAGAAUAUCGACAAAGGCCACGAUACAUCCGUCUUUGUAGCGGAUGUAGAAGGGGGCGACAUGAAAGCGAAUGACGAACUCGACGAGGAGGUGGUUGGUGCAUGCCUGAGGUGCUGAAGAGAUUGUGACCGAGAUCAUUAAGUGAGUGAUAUACCAAUUGUGCCGGGCCAGGAUACUUAUUGAUCCUUCUUUCAAUCCACGCGAGGAUCCGGAACAACCUGUGCUCACCUUCCGAUUUUGGUUCUUGGUACUGGUUUGGCUUGUUUUGGCAAUGUUUUACCUGAGAUCUACUACUGGAAAGCGACGAAUGAUGCACGUUGCCAAAACACAGUUGAGAAUCCUCAAAGCUCCAACUAUUGCAAUCUUGCACACUUGUGCAACUCAAUGAUCUCAACUGGGUGUCUUACGAGUCUGAACGGCAACUUACCGAUCCAUAGGUUACAAUGUUGAUGCAUCUGUUCUCUGCCUUGGAUUUAGAGAACGUUUCUAAUGCGAAAUCAGACCACAUGGACCGAGGGCUCGGUUUCACAGGUAACCAAUGGAGCCUGAUGUUCACAAUGUUUUUUUCAUACCAUGACGUUGCAUGACAUAUCCAGGAGCUUGCUUGAGCAAGGAAUUUGGACAUAAUCGCAUGUUGCCAUUUACAUGGCAGGAUAAAUGCCAACGGGAUUCCUCGAGAUGCAAGGCUGACCGACAUUGGAGAUAAAUGAGGCUCAACGACAAUGAUUAACGCGGCGUUAAGGAUUUUGCAUCAUAUCUCGCCGUUCGUCUUUUGCGCGGUAUUUUCGAAAGCUGCAACUAUACUCAGACUGGGGCAAGACAGAGAAGAGCAUAGCUGACUGUAUAGUCAUUGCAUGAAUGCCGUCAAGACGAAUAUCCGGCAACGUUUCUCGACUGGAAUCGCCAAAGAUCUUGGCACAUCUCCUGCAGACCUCUGCGCGCAAUGAAUCCAAGCUCUUCUUUCGCCAGUCGAGGGUCGGCUGUCAAGUCCGGAACGUCACCGGAUCUAGAAAGCCCAAUUUUAGCUUCAUUCGGGAAAAUGGUUGAUUAACCUAACCUACCUUCGUUCCACGAUUUCGUACUGGUACCCAUAUCCUGUUGCGAUUUUCAUCUCGUUAAUCAUCUCAAGAACGGUGAUACCCUUGCCUCUCCCCAGGUUGAAUGCGCGGAAAUACCCGUUUUUCUUCGUAUCAACUGAGUGGAAGAUACCUGAACUUUGAGUUGUGAUUUCUGACUUGGCGAGAGCGUCAAGCCCGAGGAGAUGGCCCUCAGCAAGGUCCAUGAUGUGAAGAUAAUCCCGAAGACAUGUGCCGUCUCUGUGAUUACACAUCGUCAGAAUCGAUUAAGAUCAAACAGCACGCAUAACCCACCUGGUAGGGUAGUCAUUCCCAAAAACCUUGAGAUCAGAUGAUGAUCUCCCCACCGCGAUCUGAGCUAGAAUUGGAAGUAGGUUACCUGGGCGGCCUUUAGGCUCUUCCCCUAGCUGGCCGGACAGAUGAGCCCCAGCCGGGCUGGGUGUGAGGUUUUAGCGGGCCUCCCAAUGGCAAGGAAAAUUCUCUCACUUACUUAAAAUAUCUCACGCUUAUCGCUUUGAGACCUUGAAUGCCAGCCUUGGCUGCGUCAGCCCGGCAUACGUCUCGGAUCACUUCCUCUGUGAUCGCCUUGGUACGCCCAUACACAGAUUCAGGUAUGAUCUCAGAGGUCUCGGGGAUUGGAAUCAUCGCUGGGGUGCCGUAGACGGUGGCGGAUGACGAGAAGACAAGGUUGUUGGUUUGGAAUCGUUGCAUAAUCUGGAAGCUGUCGAUCAGAGUUGGUCAAUAGCCUGGACAGUAUGAACAUACCUUCAGGAGCGAGAUUGACCCCCCGACGUUGACCUCGUAAUAAUCUAACGGAAUCUCACUCGAUUCUCCGACUGCUUUGAGUGCAGCUAGGUGGAUUACCGCCCAUAUGCCGCCUUUUGACUGAUAUUGCUUGAACACCUUGUCGAUUUCUUCCGCGUUACGAAUAUCGCACUGGUGGUAAAGGGGUUUGGGAGCAUGUGGGCUAUUAAAGAUCGAAGAUCAGCUAUGCCGGUCCAUGCCAUGUAUAUGGACUUACCCUACUUCAUUUUGGGCUAUUUGAUUGCAGCGCUCGAGAGCUUGAGGGUAUGCGUUGUGCGCAUUGUCAAUGAUGAUGGGCAAGUAGCGACCAGAGACCAGAAGUGAGAGGACAACGUGAGAUCCUAUGUAUCCGAGUCCACCGGUGACAAGGACGUUCUGUAAUGAGAAUUAGCCUUGGUUUUGUUGUAAUUGUAAUAGAAUGGUCCCACUUUCAAAGGCUGUCCAUGGACAGACAAGCUUGAUGUCGACGUUUGGUUCAUGGUAACUCGAGUCUGUUCAAAAACCAUAAUGCAGGGAAAGUCGAUGCAACAGAAUCAUGAACGGGAAUACUCAGAAUUGGACCCGAGCACGAACGGGAAUCUUGCCCAAAUAAUGCUUUGUUCGAACGGGAAUUUCGAGGAUGGGCAAUUCUGCGAACGGGAAUGUGUAGUAGAGGAAGCGAUGAACGGGAAUUCUGCGAACGGGAAUGUGUAGAAGAGAAAAUGAUAAACGGGAAUUCUGUUGCAUCGAUGAUGACAU